AUGCUCUGAUUUCUCUUCAGAACAAAUAAGUCUUUUGCCUUUAACUAAAGAUUUCCAUGGAGUGAAAUAGUUGUGAGCCAGUAGCCAAAUUUUUUGAUGUCUUGCAUGUGCAGGGCU
RNAcentral lists this small nuclear RNA (117 nucleotides) under Carlito syrichta (Philippine tarsier). RNAcentral describes it as "U5 spliceosomal RNA (ENSTSYG00000032873.1)". It matches the Rfam family "U5 spliceosomal RNA". From Rfam's summary of the family: U5 RNA is a component of both types of known spliceosome. The precise function of this molecule is unknown, though it is known that the 5' loop is required for splice site selection and p220 binding, and that both the 3' stem-loop and the Sm site are important for Sm protein binding and cap methylation. The record is from Rfam by way of RNAcentral. Lineage: Eukaryota; Metazoa; Chordata; Mammalia; Primates; Tarsiidae.